UAUUCCAUUUAAAGUUUAUGU
This is a non-coding RNA of Caenorhabditis elegans, 21 nucleotides long. Lineage: Eukaryota; Metazoa; Nematoda; Chromadorea; Rhabditida; Rhabditidae. The record is from Ensembl.